RNAcentral lists this transfer RNA (86 nucleotides) under Vitreoscilla filiformis. It matches the Rfam family "tRNA". Rfam says of the family: Transfer RNA (tRNA) molecules are approximately 80 nucleotides in length. Their secondary structure includes four short double-helical elements and three loops (D, anti-codon, and T loops). Further hydrogen bonds mediate the characteristic L-shaped molecular structure. tRNAs have two regions of fundamental functional importance: the anti-codon, which is responsible for specific mRNA codon recognition, and the 3' end, to which the tRNAs corresponding amino acid is attached (by aminoacyl-tRNA synthetases). tRNAs cope with the degeneracy of the genetic code in two manners: having more than one tRNA (with a specific anti-codon) for a particular amino acid; and 'wobble' base-pairing, i.e. permitting non-standard base-pairing at the 3rd anti-codon position. The record is from Rfam by way of RNAcentral. Lineage: Bacteria; Pseudomonadati; Pseudomonadota; Betaproteobacteria; Neisseriales; Neisseriaceae.
GCCUGGGUGGUGAAAUUGGUAGACACAGCGGACUUAAAAUCCGCCGGCCCUAAAAGGCUGUACGGGUUCGAUUCCCGUCCUAGGCA